GGAGUACGCCGGCAACGUGAAACUCAAAGGAAUUGACGGGGGCCCGCACAAGCGGAGGAACAUGUGUUAAUUCGAUGAUACGCGAGGAACCUUACCCGGGCUUGAACUGCAGGAGAAGGAUACAGAGAUGUUGAUGCCCUUCGGGGCUCCUGUGGAGGUGCUGCAUGGUUGUCGUCAGCUCGUGCCGUGAGGUGUCGGCUUAAGUGCCAUAACGAGCGCAACCCUUUUCUUCAGUUGCCAUCAGGUGAUGCUGGGCACUCUGGAGACACUGCCACCGUAAGGUGUGAGGAAGGUGGGGAUGACGUCAAAUCAGCACGGCCCUUACGUCCGGGGCUACACACGUGUUACAAUGGGUGGUACAGAGAGUCGGUCGUCUGCAAAUGCGAUCCAAUCCUUAAAGCCAUCCUCAGUUCGGAUUGGGGUCUGCAACCCGACCCCAUGAAGCUGGAUUCGCUAGUAAUCGCGCAUCAGCCCUGGCGCGGUGAAUACGUUCCCGGGCCUUGUACACACCGCCCGUCAAGCCAUGAAAGCCGGGGGCGCUUGAAGUCCGUGACCGCAAGGAUCGGCCUAGAGCGAAACUGGUAAUUGGGGCU
Molecule: ribosomal RNA, 593 nt
Filed under: uncultured rumen bacterium
Lineage: Bacteria
Description: bacterial SSU rRNA
Rfam family: Bacterial small subunit ribosomal RNA
Source: RNAcentral